RNAcentral lists this microRNA precursor (159 nucleotides) under Pelobates cultripes (western spadefoot toad). The record is from RNAcentral. Lineage: Eukaryota; Metazoa; Chordata; Amphibia; Anura; Pelobatidae.
GCUGACACAUCCCAGUCAAUCUCCAGCAGACCCUCCCUCCCAGACCCUUCUACUUCCUGGACAGCAUCCAUGUUGAAGGCAGCUUCAACAUGGAUGCUGUCCAGGAGGUGGGAGGGUCUGGGAGGGAGGGUCUGCUGGAGAUUGGCCGGGAUGUGUCAG